UGGGGAAUUUUGCACAAUGGGCGCAAGCCUGAUGCAGCGACGCCGCGUGAGGGAUGAAGGCCUUCGGGUUGUAAACCUUUUUCGCUCAUGGUCAAGCCGCAGCUUGGGGUUGUGGUGAGGGUAGUGGGUAAAGAAGCCCCGGCUAAUUACGUGCCAGCAGCCGCGGUAAUACGUAAGGGGCGAGCGUUGUCCGGAAUUAUUGGGCGUAAAGAGUGCGUAGGCGGCAAAUUAAGUCAGAUGUGAAAACUAAGGGCUCAACCCAUAGAUUGCAUCUGAAACUGAUAUGCUUGAGUCAAGGAGAGGAAAGUGGAAUUCCUAGUGUAGCGGUGGAAUGCGUAGAUAUUAGGAGGAAUCCCGGUGGCGAAGGCGACUUUCUGGACUUGAACUGACGCUGAGGCACGAAAGCGUGGGGAGCAAACAGG
RNAcentral lists this ribosomal RNA (422 nucleotides) under Verrucomicrobiota bacterium. Its description in RNAcentral is "Verrucomicrobia bacterium partial 16S ribosomal RNA". It matches the Rfam family "Bacterial small subunit ribosomal RNA", at positions 355 to 776 of the family's 1533-position model. The record is from RNAcentral. Lineage: Bacteria; Pseudomonadati; Verrucomicrobiota.